UUCUCUGGACAGCAGCAACUGUAUUCCAGAGGGCUCAAGCCCAUUUCCAUGGAAACGCGAUCACAACUUCCAAACAGUCUGCCUCCACUCACAGCGGCUUCUUACUCCGCUUUCACAAUGAAUUCAGAAAAUUCCUUCGUCCUCACGAGUAACGAUCUGGAACCAACAAAAUAUGGAGUCAAAACAGGAUACCAUACAAGCAAUGGCCACAUCUCACAGAUCCCUGGACUGUCCCCAACUACCAACACUCUUCCUGAGGAGAGGAUCCGAGGGCGAAGAGUUGGAGUCCUAGAGAGUGACUCUGAUUAUGUAAAACUUGCAAAACAAGGAGGGCAUAAGGGACUUCUGUGCCACGAGGAAUCAGUUAUUUCUAAACCCAGUUCAUACAAACCUCCACAUUGGUUUGGCUUUGAAUCAGGAGACUUAAGCGAGCCAAGUGAAGAGAAGAAAAUCCCCGGAGCUUUUGAACCACAAGAACCUCCUUUUGGGAGCGACAACAUGUCAGCCUGGGAAAGAGACAACAGCAGCAACAAUGAGAAAGAGGAGGACAACAUUUCUGUCCACCAAAGUGAGACAGAGAAGUUGCAGACAUCCAGUCAAUAUCAUGAGGCCAGCAAAUUCAGGAGGAUGUAAAGUAAUUGACAAGAAACCAGCCCCUGUUGACAUGUCAAAGCUGCUCAGCUUUGGUUAUGCAGAAGACAGCAAACCAGUAUAGUGACGUGUCAAAUUGGAAGACUGCCGGGUGCCUGGAUGGGAAAAGGGCGUACAAGAUUCAUGCUGAGACACAUCAAGCAUUUUACUUUGUUUUAGAAAAAUUUGUAUUGUUAAAUCUUUUACUCAAGCAUUAAAGUGCCUCACUGAAUUACAGCUGGACGUUUUAUUUAUUGUGAUUUUUAGUGGUGCACUUGAAGGCAUCAGUUAACUCCUGUGUUAAGUUUUUUUUCUGUGUCUACAAGGCUGUAAAUGUCAGCUUCUGGGAAAAGUUUGAUAAUUCAAAUAAAAUGAAACCAAUCCAAAAUGAAACAUUUAUAUAUAUGUAUAUGUCACAGGCUAAAUUUUCCACACUAAACAUGAUUCCUGUUCGUGGUACAUUAUGUUGGCUCUGUGCGUUUCUGUUUUCAUAUGACAGUGCUAGUGUCAGAGGUUAUCUCGGUGUUCUUUUGCUAAAUUAUGUCAGUA
Molecule: RNA transcript, 1179 nt
Organism: Haplochromis burtoni (Burton's mouthbrooder)
Lineage: Eukaryota; Metazoa; Chordata; Actinopteri; Cichliformes; Cichlidae
Exons: 8
Source: RefSeq, a predicted model, not a curated record